RNAcentral lists this long non-coding RNA (2114 nucleotides) under Olea europaea (common olive). RNAcentral describes it as "long non-coding RNA (OEUR_LNC015552)". Lineage: Eukaryota; Viridiplantae; Streptophyta; Magnoliopsida; Lamiales; Oleaceae. The record is from RNAcentral.
UUUUUUUAUUGCAUCAUCGAUUGCUAUAAAUAGAAUAAGACAAUGUGUCUCAAUAAAGUGCAGUAACUCGAUUAAAAUAAUGAAAGUAUAUUUAUAUUAUUGAAAUCAUAUUAAAGUAUGAGUGCCCUAUUAAACACAAUUGAAGUCCAAUUACCUUAUUAAACACUAAAUUAUAACUACCGCAAAUGAAGUUAACAAAAAACGACGCAAGUUAAAGAAAAAACAAGGUCAAGUUUUACAUAGCCCUUUUUGUAUCCAUUAUUUCAAAAACAAAAUAGUUCUGAAUAGUAAUAUUAGAAUUACGUGUAAAAUAUUUUAUUGUAUGAAUGUGUAACUAUAAAUAAUUCUAUAGCAAAAAGAAUUUUAUAACAAUGGAUGUGACAGCAAAGUGGAGUUCUUAAUUAAUAUUACCAAGCAUGGUUUAUGAAUAAUGCUAUAUGCAGUUGCUCACUACCACUAUCGCCCUACAUGGCGGUUAUUAAUUUGAUGGGAAGUGCUAAAUGUACAUAAUUAUCUACAUAAUGGUGUCCAUAAAUACACAUGGCACUGGAUCUAACCUCUAAUUAAAAUCUUACACAUCAACAACCGGAUGAUUGCCACAUCACAUUAUAAACACCAUUAUGUGCAAUAAUUAUGUACAAGUAGAAUUUUCCUAAUUUGAUACAUGAUGCAAUAAAAAACUACCAUAUUAAUACAUCAAAUUAUCAACCACCACAUGUAUGCCACGAUGGAUAAAAUGGUAGUGAACAACAGCAAAUAACAUUACUCUUUUCUUUUUCUUUUCUUUUUUUUAUUGCAUCAUCGAUUGCUAUAAAUAGAAUAAGACAAUGUGUCUCAAUAAAGUGCAGUAACUCGAUUAAAAUAAUGAAAGUAUAUUUAUAUUAUUGAAAUCAUAUUAAAGUAUGAGUGCCCUAUUAAACACAAUUGAAGUCCAAUUACCUUAUUAAACACUAAAUUAUAACUACCGCAAAUGAAGUUAACAAAAAACGACGCAAGUUAAAGAAAAAACAAGGUCAAGUUUUACAUAGCCCUUUUUGUAUCCAUUAUUUCAAAAACAAAAUAGUUCUGAAUAGUAAUAUUAGAAUUACGUGUAAAAUAUUUUAUUGUAUGAAUGUGUAACUAUAAAUAAUUCUAUAGCAAAAAGAAUUUUAUAACAAUGGAUGUGACAGCAAAGUGGAGUUCUUAAUUAAUAUUACCAAGCAUGGCAUACAGUUGUUGUCGCUACAAUAUAAUUUUAAUUUCUUUAUUCUUUAUCAAUAUUAUCUAGUAUACAAAACUAGACAUAGUCAAUUUUAAGAUCAUUUCUUAAAAAAAGCUAAGGAAAUUUUCAAAAUACACCAUUUAUGUAGGGUGCUAUCAUACUUCACAGAAUCACAUACCAUAUUUUACAUAUUUACAUUUUGGAAAUUGCUCAGGGGACUUACCAACCCCUCACUGUAGGGGUUGGUCCCACAUGAAAAAAACAAAAAAAAAAUACGCUAAGACCCACAACUAUGAGUAAUCUAACAAGGGUCUAUAAAACAAACCCUAUAAGUAUAGCAAGUCUCUUACAUUUCACUUGGUACAUUUUGCAUAAUAGUUACAAAAAUCACAUUUCGCUGAAAAUUUUUAAAUGUCAUUAUAAAUAGUGAAACACAUUAUUUUUUCAUACCAAUAUUAUUUUGUAUAUAACGAUUUAUAAAUUUAUUGUCUACUCUUCCUAAAUCUAAAGUCAAAUACCUAAAAUUAAUUUUAAUAAGUUAAGAAAAUACUUCUUUUGACUCAACAUUGUCAAAACAAAUAAAAAUUCUUAAGAAUGCAAUUGCAAUUUUAUUAAUAUCUUGUACACAAAUUUCUCUCUCUUUUUUUCAAGUUUCAUAAAAAAAGAAUAGUCUAUAAAUUUUGAGUUAAUUUAUAAAAUAAUGCUUACACCUCAAGGUGUACACACGAAAUUCACACCCCUCUCAUAUGGAAUGGGGCCCCACGCAUAUUUUAUUGUGAGUGUGUGUCCCUCCAUGUGAGGUGGUAUAUACCCGUGUGUACACAGUUAUUUACCCGUAGCAUUAUCCCAAUUUAUAUAGGGAUUAUAAAUUACUCCUAGACCAUCCCAAACAUGCCAUUCAAGUGUAUAACUA